This is a non-coding RNA of Triticum aestivum (bread wheat), 135 nucleotides long. NCBI's taxonomy places the organism in Eukaryota, Viridiplantae, Streptophyta, Magnoliopsida, Poales, Poaceae. The record is from Rfam.
CAAAUACUCCCUCCGUCCGGAAAUACUUGUCAUCAAAAUGGAUAAAAGGAAAUGUAUCUAGACGUAUUUUAGUUUUAGAUACAUCUCUUUUUAUCCAUUUUGAUGACAAGUAUUUUCGGACAGAGGGAGUAGAAA